GUAGGUGAACCUGCGGAAGGAUCAUUAUUGAAUUCGGCCUUUUGGCCUUAUACACAUAAUAUACACUGUGAACCGUGGCUUCGGCCCAAACUUGAAGUCUUGAAUGUAAUAUAUCAUAACAAAAUACAACUUUUAACAACGGAUCUCUUGGCUCUC
This 156-nucleotide unclassified non-coding RNA is filed under the name rhizosphere metagenome. RNAcentral's name for it is "partial ribosomal RNA internal transcribed spacer region". The record is from RNAcentral.